UUCCAAAAUUUGUCAUUUUCAAUUUUGCAAGUCAAUUUAUGGAUUAUGAUCCCGAGUCAAUCUUCUUAGUUUUUAUUGGCUCCAAACUCUUUAUUUUUUUCUUGAUUCAUUUAAUAUUUAAUUAUGGAUGAAUCAAUUAGUAUUGAUGCUUUAUUACACUGUCUUUUAUGAGAUGACUCGUAGACCUUGCAUAUUGGAAUUCUAUAUCAUUGAUAUUCUUUUUCUCUCUUUCUCUCAUCCUUCCAUUUAUCCACACCUUUACUUCUUUCAUUUUGUUUUACAACUUCUAAUUAAAGUUUAUGCAAAAAAUAAAUAAAAUUCAGUUGCUGCAAAGAUAUGACUGAUUUAUCAUAUCUCGACUGGUUCUCCUCCGAUUAUAUUUUCUAAAUCGUCCACACUAACAAUCCAUCCUUCCCCUCCAAAGGGCGAUUUUAGUAAAUAACAAAAUAUAAUACUUGGGCUAAGGGUGAAGUUGGUAAUUUUUCUUACAUCUCCCCUUCCCGGAGCCCAAGUAUCAUAUACGCCCCCAAAAUAAAGAGUCUUGAAUACUAGAAGAAAAGCACCUAGACCUAACAAGAUUAAGUGAAUACCUAAAAUUGUGGUCAUUUUAUUUCUAUCUUUCCAUACAUAACCGAAGAAUGGAAAAGAUUCCUCAAGUGUCUCAGGUCCAGAAGUGCAUGAUAAAUACCACCAAAGCCCAAUACUGUAGAGGAAAUUAAAUGAAGUACAACUUAAUAAGAUUCUGAAAGGAGGGUUCAUUUUAUUUAAAUUAAAUAACUAAAAUUUUAUCAUUUGUUGAAGAAGUUUUGAUAGCUACGGAUCACAAAAAACACUAAAAUCAUAACAGAAAAAUGUAUUGUGGAAAAAUCGAUAGUUUCUUUUUUAGUUCCGAAAAUGAAACUAAAAUUCAAAUAGAAAAAUAAAAAGAAUGUAAAUAGUCUUUCUUCUUUUUGUUGUUGUUUGAAUAUUUUAUAUUACUGUAAAAAAUAUAUAUAUA
This 997-nucleotide long non-coding RNA is filed under the name Olea europaea subsp. europaea. The stretch from base 438 to 624 matches the Rfam family "Antisense RNA which regulates isiA expression". The record is from RNAcentral. Lineage: Eukaryota; Viridiplantae; Streptophyta; Magnoliopsida; Lamiales; Oleaceae.